This 1403-nucleotide ribosomal RNA is filed under the name Salmonella enterica. RNAcentral's name for it is "partial 23S ribosomal RNA". It matches the Rfam family "Bacterial large subunit ribosomal RNA", at positions 1549 to 2925 of the family's 2925-position model. Lineage: Bacteria; Pseudomonadati; Pseudomonadota; Gammaproteobacteria; Enterobacterales; Enterobacteriaceae. The record is from RNAcentral.
AUCAAGGCUGAGGCGUGAUGACGAGGCACUACGGUGCUGAAGCAACAAAUGCCCUGCUUCCAGGAAAAGCCUCUAAGCAUCAGGUAACAUCAAAUCGUACCCCAAACCGACACAGGUGGUCAGGUAGAGAAUACCAAGGCGCUUGAGAGAACUCGGGUGAAGGAACUAGGCAAAAUGGUGCCGUAACUUCGGGAGAAGGCACGCUGACAUGUAGGUGAAGUGAUUUACUCAUGGAGCUGAAGUCAGUCGAAGAUACCAGCUGGCUGCAACUGUUUAUUAAAAACACAGCACUGUGCAAACACGAAAGUGGACGUAUACGGUGUGACGCCUGCCCGGUGCCGGAAGGUUAAUUGAUGGGGUCAGCGCAAGCGAAGCUCCUGAUCGAAGCCCCGGUAAACGGCGGCCGUAACUAUAACGGUCCUAAGGUAGCGAAAUUCCUUGUCGGGUAAGUUCCGACCUGCACGAAUGGCGUAAUGAUGGCCAGGCUGUCUCCACCCGAGACUCAGUGAAAUUGAACUCGCUGUGAAGAUGCAGUGUACCCGCGGCAAGACGGAAAGACCCCGUGAACCUUUACUAUAGCUUGACACUGAACAUUGAGCCUUGAUGUGUAGGAUAGGUGGGAGGCUUUGAAGUGUGGACGCCAGUCUGCAUGGAGCCGACCUUGAAAUACCACCCUUUAAUGUUUGAUGUUCUAACGUGGACCCGUGAUCCGGGUUGCGGACAGUGUCUGGUGGGUAGUUUGACUGGGGCGGUCUCCUCCUAAAGAGUAACGGAGGAGCACGAAGGUUGGCUAAUCCUGGUCGGACAUCAGGAGGUUAGUGCAAUGGCAUAAGCCAGCUUGACUGCGAGCGUGACGGCGCGAGCAGGUGCGAAAGCAGGUCAUAGUGAUCCGGUGGUUCUGAAUGGAAGGGCCAUCGCUCAACGGAUAAAAGGUACUCCGGGGAUAACAGGCUGAUACCGCCCAAGAGUUCAUAUCGACGGCGGUGUUUGGCACCUCGAUGUCGGCUCAUCACAUCCUGGGGCUGAAGUAGGUCCCAAGGGUAUGGCUGUUCGCCAUUUAAAGUGGUACGCGAGCUGGGUUUAGAACGUCGUGAGACAGUUCGGUCCCUAUCUGCCGUGGGCGCUGGAGAACUGAGGGGGGCUGCUCCUAGUACGAGAGGACCGGAGUGGACGCAUCACUGGUGUUCGGGUUGUCAUGCCAAUGGCACUGCCCGGUAGCUAAAUGCGGAAGAGAUAAGUGCUGAAAGCAUCUAAGCACGAAACUUGCCCCGAGAUGAGUUCUCCCUGAGACUUAAAGUCUCCUGAAGGAACGUUGAAGACGACGACGUUGAUAGGCCGGGUGUGUAAGCGCAGCGAUGCGUUGAGCUAACCGGUACUAAUGAACCGUGAGGCUUAACCUUACA